AGAAUAGCAAGGACUUCCUGGAGUUCCACGGCUAGAGAGUGCACCGCCGCCACCGCUGCUGGCGUUAAAGAGAAGUGAUGCAGUGAGAAGGGAAGGGGUAACCCCUGACAAGAUUCAACAGCUGGACCUUUAUCUGCAGAUACAAAACAGUACCUGAGAUGAAGCAAAUGGAAAUCAGGGAACAGCACAGAGUGAAGUUCAGGAAUGUACGUCAGCGCAUGAGUCAUGCAGGGCUGUGGUGUUGAUAAUGUGAGCAGGAAAAAGGAACUGUGAACACGGGACUGAAGAAAAGGAAGGCUACAAACAGAACCAACAAGCAAAUUAAAUAAAUGUCUUACCAGUAUGCAAGAGAAGGGUGCUCCUGAAGAGUCUUAGUUGGGAAGGCAGGCAAGCUCUUUAGAUCUUUCCUUGCAGUUUCAUCACUAAAAAGUUAAGAAAAAGAAGAAAACAGCUUGAAUGUGAUGAGAGUAUUACUAGUGUAGAAUCACAAAAGCAACCAUUGGUUUCUUAUGGCAAAGGAGGCUGUGCUUUAGCUACUUAAAAGCAAGUUCAUUCAUAGUGUACCGCAGGCUGUCAUAGCAACGUAACCCUAUAGGCCUUCUUGCAUGUCAACUAUGAACAAAAGGGUUGCACUUACAUUACUAUUCUGAUUAGGAGCACAGUGCUAUUGAGAAAUUCCCGUGACUGGGGGAAAAAGAGCAUUCACUUGCUCCUAGUCAUCACUAUUGAAUACUGUCCCCCUAACAGACACAUUUGGUUAUAAAUGAAUGAUAAAACCAUACUUUUAAACCUGAAAAUGGAUACUGAAAUUUCUAAAGCAAACAUUUAUAUUUUAAAAACUAUUUUGAUAAAAAAAUAAGAGAAAUAAAAGAGAAAAAUAGGUGGUUGUCAUUUUUAGUAGGGUGUUUCAAAGGAGGAGGUUUUUAAUUGCUUUAAUUAAAAAAUAGGGCAGAAAUCUACCUAAUUAUUUUGGUUGUUGUAAAAAAGGAGGAAUUAUUAUUUAUUUUAUUUCCUUCCCACUUUAACUCUCUUUAAAAAAACAAAGCAGCUCACAAUAAAAUCAAAAUAAUUCUUUUCUGAAUUCCAAAAUCAUCCAAAAUGGUUCGUUCAAGUAGCUGAGAGAGUGAGAUCUUUGCUUUCUGGUGGUACACACAUUUUCUUCCAUGUACAAAGUUGUUUAAAAUAGAAUGCAUAAAAUAAGAUUAGGGUAUGUGUAUGUGUCUAAGGAUUAUAUGAAACAUAAACAAAUUUCAUGUUUAAACAUGGAUUUAUUUAUCCAUGAUUUAUUUAUUUUUAUCUAUCUAUCUAUCUAUCUAUCUAUCUAUCUAUCUAUCUAUCUAUCUAUCUAUCACCACAGGUAUUCCAAACUAAUAAUAAUAAAUAUCCAAAAUCCUUCUAA
Molecule: long non-coding RNA, 1399 nt
Organism: Anolis carolinensis (green anole)
Lineage: Eukaryota; Metazoa; Chordata; Lepidosauria; Squamata; Anolidae
Exons: 3
Source: RefSeq, a predicted model, not a curated record